CAGUCUGCAACUCGACNGCAUGAAGCUGGAAUCGCUAGUAAUCGCGAAUCAGCAUGUCGCGGUGAAUACGUUCCCGGGUCUUGUACACACCGCCCGUCACACCAUGGGAGUUGGAAAUGCCCGAAGCCAGUGACCCAACCGUAAGGAGGGAGCUGUCGAAGGUGGAGCCGAUGACUGGGGUGAAGUCGUAACAAGGUACC
This 200-nucleotide ribosomal RNA is filed under the name uncultured bacterium. RNAcentral describes it as "partial 16S ribosomal RNA". It matches the Rfam family "Bacterial small subunit ribosomal RNA", at positions 1301 to 1500 of the family's 1533-position model. The record is from RNAcentral.